CUGAGUUACUAAACUCCCAAACCCGUGUGAACUUACCACUGUUGCUUCGGCGGCCACGCCCCGGGAGCCGGCUUCUGGCCGCGCCCCCCGGAGUCAGGCGUCCGCCGGAGGACCUAAACUCUUGAUUUUACAGCGGUCUCUUCUGAGUGGAUUAUACAAAUGAAUCA
This 167-nucleotide unclassified non-coding RNA is filed under the name uncultured Helotiales. Its description in RNAcentral is "sequence contains ITS1". The record is from RNAcentral. Lineage: Eukaryota; Fungi; Ascomycota; Leotiomycetes; Helotiales.